Molecule: long non-coding RNA, 822 nt
Organism: Equus asinus (donkey)
Lineage: Eukaryota; Metazoa; Chordata; Mammalia; Perissodactyla; Equidae
Source: Ensembl
CUCUCUCUCUCUCUCUCUCUCUGAUCCUUGCUUGCCCUUGGAACCCAGCCACCAUGUUUCAAGGAAGAGCAACCACAAGAAUAGCCACAUGUGUGUGCUCCAGCUGACACAGCUGACAACUGUAGCUAGGACCCCAGUCAACAACCAGCAUCUGCUGCCAGACAUGUGAGUGCCUGAGGCUCCAGAUGAUUUGAGUCUCCAGGCUUCAAGUAUUCCAGCCAAGUCCUCAGACAUGUGAAGCAGAGGCAAGUCAUCCCCUUCCAGACGAUAUGAAUUCUUGACCCACAGAAACCCCGAGAGCUUGUUCACACAUGAAGGAAUGUGCGGGAAUUCCCAUCACAGAGUUUUCUUCAGGUUAAUUAUGGAAGCACUAAGUGUAAAGCUAAAAAACACCACCACAGUUGUUACAACCUGACUCAGGAAACAUACUAAUUCCUAUAUGAUUAGUGUCUAAGUGUUGUCCUAAUUGAUGCAAUGUUCUUGCCAUGUUCUUGAUUCAUCUACUGUACAGUGGGAAAUACUGCAAAUACAAAAAUUUCAACCUUUGAGGAGCCUAGUAAGUGAAAGGGCAUCCAGCCAGGCCCUGCGAGCAUCCAAGGUAUCCUCUACUCUGAGUCAGAUUUGCAUGCAUGCCUGCUUGGGAACAAUGCAUCUGUAACCAUCAUCAUCAGGACCACAACAACAAAAAGCAUUGGAGAGUCAGUAUAGAAUACUAGUUGAGAACAAGGGAUCUAGACCCAAGCUGCUUGGGUUUCAAUCCCAGCUCUGCCAUUUACCUGCUGAAUGAGUGCUCUGGUUACCUAUCGGUGUAUAAUAAGCCAC